RNAcentral lists this ribosomal RNA (613 nucleotides) under Salmonella enterica subsp. enterica serovar Indiana. RNAcentral's name for it is "partial 23S ribosomal RNA". It matches the Rfam family "Bacterial large subunit ribosomal RNA", at positions 2261 to 2868 of the family's 2925-position model. The record is from RNAcentral. Lineage: Bacteria; Pseudomonadati; Pseudomonadota; Gammaproteobacteria; Enterobacterales; Enterobacteriaceae.
GUGGGUAGUUUGACUGGGGCGGUCUCCUCCUAAAGAGUAACGGAGGAGCACGAAGGUUGGCUAAUCCUGGUCGGACAUCAGGAGGUUAGUGCAAUGGCAUAAGCCAGCUUGACUGCGAGCGUGACGGCGCGAGCAGGUGCGAAAGCAGGUCAUAGUGAUCCGGUGGUUCUGAAUGGAAGGGCCAUCGCUCAACGGAUAAAAGGUACUCCGGGGAUAACAGGCUGAUACCGCCCAAGAGUUCAUAUCGACGGCGGUGUUUGGCACCUCGAUGUCGGCUCAUCACAUCCUGGGGCUGAAGUAGGUCCCAAGGGUAUGGCUGUUCGCCAUUUAAAGUGGUACGCGAGCUGGGUUUAGAACGUCGUGAGACAGUUCGGUCCCUAUCUGCCGUGGGCGCUGGAGAACUGAGGGGGGCUGCUCCUAGUACGAGAGGACCGGAGUGGACGCAUCACUGGUGUUCGGGUUGUCAUGCCAAUGGCACUGCCCGGUAGCUAAAUGCGGAAGAGAUAAGUGCUGAAAGCAUCUAAGCACGAAACUUGCCCCGAGAUGAGUUCUCCCUGAGACUUUAGGUCUCCUGAAGGAACGUUGAAGACGACGACGUUGAUAGGCCGGGUGU